Molecule: transfer RNA, 82 nt
Filed under: Pilatotrama ljubarskyi
Lineage: Eukaryota; Fungi; Basidiomycota; Agaricomycetes; Polyporales; Polyporaceae
Description: tRNA-Asp
Rfam family: tRNA
About the family: Transfer RNA (tRNA) molecules are approximately 80 nucleotides in length. Their secondary structure includes four short double-helical elements and three loops (D, anti-codon, and T loops).
Source: RNAcentral
UCUCUGUUAGUAUAUCGGUUAGUACACGCGCCUGUCAUUCUCCUGACCGCGCGAAAGCGGGGUUCGACUCCCCGACAGAGAG